This 1915-nucleotide long non-coding RNA is filed under the name Homo sapiens (human). RNAcentral describes it as "ARL14EP divergent transcript, transcript variant 2 (ARL14EP-DT)". The record is from RNAcentral. Lineage: Eukaryota; Metazoa; Chordata; Mammalia; Primates; Hominidae.
AGAUGCUGUCUUUUGCAGUCCUCCGAGAGGUUAGGGAUGUGGGAGGUCCCUGGGGGCCAUCUCUUACAAGACACAGUUUCCACUAAAUUGGAUCGUAUUUGUACAUCUCUACACCUGUGCGUGAUAGUAAACUUUUGCACCCAAAUACCCCGACCCCUGAAGGAGAGUGUGAGUUAAAAGGAUCUGAAGAACGGACCCUUUGUUUAAGCCUUCUCCGCUGGUGGUAUACUUACGAGGACCAGAGGUGAGGUGUCAGCAAGGAGGCCCACAGGUGGAAAGUGCUUUGGGCCAAUGGUACACACCUGCUUUAUUGGAUAGACGCAGAGAAGUAUGCCUGGUCACAGCCAGAGCUUACUCGGUCAAGAAAUUAUGAGCUCCCCAGAAGUCUCUUGUAUGCUGUCUCCUAGUUGUGAGCACCUUUUACCAAAGAUGGUCUGAGAGUACCUGUGCUGAAAUGGAAUUGUCUUUGAGUGGACACUUCUUAGAUGAGACCUAUUGUGGCCAAUAGCUCCUGAGGAACUGAAGCCUUCAGUUCAAAACUUGUGUGAGAAAAAUGAAUCUUGCCAACUACUGGAGUGAGCUUAGAAAUGAAUCCAUCCCCAGUUGACCCUUGAAUGUAGCCUUGUCAGAGACCCAGAGACAAAGCAUCCUGCUAAUCUGCACUGGGUUCUAGGCCCACAGAAACCAUGGGAUAAUAACUUUGUGUUGCUAUAAGCCACUGAAAACAAACAAAUAAAAUACUUAAGAUGUUCCCCUGUGGAAGGGUUCCAUUGCCAGGGAUCUGCACUUCACAACCAAAGGGAUUAAAGAGAAUUGCCUUCUUCAGAUUUCAGACUGUGGCCUGCUUCUGGUUUUUCUUUCUAUAUUCAUAUAUAUGUUUGUUUAAAUCAUCCUACUUUUGGAGCAGGAAAAGUUACUAUUACAGUUUAUACAAAGGGAAGAAAUCUGGUACAUGCUAAAGUUAUUCAUCUGUAACUACCUGACGAGCCCAAUUAGUUGCUUGCUCCUAUGGAUUCUGAGCCUAAAAUCCCUUCAACAGAUCUUUGACCUUUUCUAAGUUAAGUUUUUGGAAGUAUCCUAUUUGUUCACUUACUUGGGCCAGAGACUAUAGAGAUUAAGAGAAAGUUUGAUAUUUGACCCUAAUUUUAGGCUAAAACAAUUUAGAUGGAAAGAACAGACACAAUUCAAUUUAACCAUCUUCAACUGCUGUGCUUUAGAAAGCUGGGAGUGUGGAGAAUGGAGUAGGUGUACAGAAAAAUAAGAACAGUUCUGUUCUUCAGGGCUUGAUAAAGGCUGCUGUGAGUUGGAUGGACAAUAAUUACUACUGACUAGGUCUAGCUGGGAUAGUUAGGGGAGACUUUCUGAAAGAGGCAACACAUGAGCUGGGUUCUAAAUCUCAAAUAGGAUUUGAUGGCUGAAGAUGAGGGUAAUAAAACAAGAGAAACAAGUACAUUCCAGAUAGAAAGAAUAGUAUAAGCCAAGAAAAACCUAUUCCAGGGCAGCAGGGAAGAGUCUGAAGUGGCAAAACAAAGUAGGAGGCAAAGCUGUCAAUAUAAGUAACUUGGUAGAGAAACAUUAGGAGUUUGGAUUUUAUCCCAUUGACUAGGAGGAUUUAAAAACAGAAAAUGCUCACAGGGGCCAGGCAAGUUAUGAGUAAAUAAAAGGUCCAGGUGUAAGUGCAACAGGGCCCAUGGACAUAGGAAUGGGGGAUGUGAAAAACCAACCUUUGCUAACAGUGAGUUCUACUAUGCAGUUUUAGCUGAUUAUAGCCAGACUCGAAAGCAACCUUUGUAGGGUUGACAGUUCUUGUGAUUGUUCAAGAAAAAAAUUUAUGUAAAAUCUACUGACUUGAAAAUACUAGAUUAAUUUAUUUAAUGUUAUAGAGCUCAAAUAAAACACAUUUGUCUUAUUUAUA